GGUUCAGUGUGGGCCUUGGCUGCAGCCCUUCCAUCCCCAUGUGGGAAUAGUGUCUUCUCUCUGUCACCUGGAGCCCUUGCCUACACUGUCCCACCGGCUCAGCUCUGAGCUGAUAGCUGGUGCGGGGCAAGGCCCUCUUUCUUGCUGUGGGCCCCUCUGCUGGGGAGCAGGCGCACGGAGAUGCUGGCUGCAUGAGGGACCCUCAAGGCUGCUGGGAAGGAAGGGACAACUGGGGGAGUGCUUGCUGUACAGGGAAGUGAUGGCACUCAGAGGGGAGCCUGGUUCCUCUGCCUGCAGCAACAGCACAGGGCCUUUCUACUCAGUGUCUUGUGUGGAUGGAGGAGGGGCAGAGUCCACCUGACCCCACGCCUAGUCCUGUCCAGCAUGAG
RNAcentral lists this long non-coding RNA (389 nucleotides) under Rattus norvegicus (Norway rat). Its description in RNAcentral is "long non-coding RNA NONRATT026521". Lineage: Eukaryota; Metazoa; Chordata; Mammalia; Rodentia; Muridae. The record is from RNAcentral.